RNAcentral lists this ribosomal RNA (450 nucleotides) under uncultured bacterium. Its description in RNAcentral is "bacterial SSU rRNA". It matches the Rfam family "Bacterial small subunit ribosomal RNA", at positions 29 to 526 of the family's 1533-position model. The record is from RNAcentral.
AACGAACGCUGGCGGCAGGCUUAACACAUGCAAGUCGAACGCCCCGCAAGGGGAGUGGCAGACGGGUGAGUAACGCGUGGGAACCUACCCAAAGGUACGGAACAACCAAGGGAAACUUUGGCUAAUACCGUAUACGCCCCAAGGGGGAAAGAUUUAUCGCCUUUGGACGGGCCCGCGUUGGAUUAGCUUGUUGGUGGGGUAACGGCCUACCAAGGCGACGAUCCAUAGCUGGUCUGAGAGGAUGAUCAGCCACACUGGGACUGAGACACGGCCCAGACUCCUACGGGAGGCAGCAGUGGGGAAUCUUGGACAAUGGGCGAAAGCCUGAUCCAGCCAUACCGCGUGAGUGAAGAAGGCCUUAGGGUUGUAAAGCUCUUUCGGCGGGGACGAUAAUGACGGUACCCGCAGAAGAAGCCCCGGCUAACUCCGUGCCAGCAGCCGCAGUAAAAC